CCGGCGAUGUCCGAAUGGGGAAACCCAGUGCAAUUCGUUGCACUAUCGUUAACUGAAUACAUAGGUUAACGAGGCGAACCGGGGGAACUGAAACAUCUAAGUACCCCGAGGAAAAGAAAUCAACCGAGAUUCCCCCAGUAGCGGCGAGCGAACGGGGAGCAGCCCAGAGUCUGAAUCAGCUUGUGUGUUAGUGGAACGGUCUGGAAAGUCCGACGGUACAGGGUGAUAGUCCCGUACACCAAAAUGCACAGGCUGUGAACUCGAAGAGUAGGGCGGGACACGUGGUAUCCUGUCUGAAUAUGGGGGGACCAUCCUCCAAGGCUAAAUACUCCUGACUGACCGAUAGUGAACCAGUACCGUGAGGGAAAGGCGAAAAGAACCCCGGCGAGGGGAGUGAAAAAGAACCUGAAACCGUGUACGUACAAGCAGUGGGAGCACCUUCGGGUGUGACUGCGUACCUUUUGUAUAAUGGGUCAGCGACUUAUAUUCUGUAGCAAGGUUAACCGUAUAGGGGAGCCGCAGGGAAACCGAGUCUUAACUGGGCGUUAAGUUGCAGGGUAUAGACCCGAAACCCGGUGAUCUAGCCAUGGGCAGGUUGAAGGUUGGGUAACACUAACUGGAGGACCGAACCGACUAAUGUUGAAAAAUUAGCGGAUGACUUGUGGCUGGGGGUGAAAGGCCAAUCAAACCGGGAGAUAGCUGGUUCUCCCCGAAAGCUAUUUAGGUAGCGCCUCGUGAACUCAUCUUCGGGGGUAGAGCACUGUUUCGGCUAGGGGGUCAUCCCGACUUACCAACCCGAUGCAAACUACGAAUACCGAAGAAUGUUAUCACGGGAGACACACGGCGGGUGCUAACGUCCGUCGUGAAGAGGGAAACAACCCAGACCGCCAGCUAAGGUCCCAAAGUCAUGGUUAAGUGGGAAACGAUGUGGGAAGGCACAGACAGCCAGGAUGUUGGCUUAGAAGCAGCCAUCAUUUAAAGAAAGCGUAAUAGCUCACUGGUCGAGUCGGCCUGCGCGGAAGAUGUAACGGGGCUAAACCAUGCACCGAAGCUGCGGCAGCGACACUAUGUGUUGUUGGGUAGGGGAGCGUUCUGUAAGCCUGCGAAGGUGUGCUGUGAGGCAUGCUGGAGGUAUCAGAAGUGCGAAUGCUGACAUAAGUAACGAUAAAGCGGGUGAAAAGCCCGCUCGCCGGAAGACCAAGGGUUCCUGUCCAACGUUAAUCGGGGCAGGGUGAGUCGACCCCUAAGGCGAGGCCGAAAGGCGUAGUCGAUGGGAAACAGGUUAAUAUUCCUGUACUUGGUGUUACUGCGAAGGGGGGACGGAGAAGGCUAUGUUAGCCGGGCGACGGUUGUCCCGGUUUAAGCAUGUAGGCUGAUUAUCCAGGCAAAUCCGGAUAAUCAAGGCUGAGGUGUGAUGACGAGGCACUACGGUGCUGAAGUAACAAAUGCCCUGCUUCCAGGAAAAGCCUCUAAGCAUCAGGUAACAUCAAAUCGUACCCCAAACCGACACAGGUGGUCAGGUAGAGAAUACCAAGGCGCUUGAGAGAACUCGGGUGAAGGAACUAGGCAAAAUGGUGCCGUAACUUCGGGAGAAGGCACGCUGGUGUGUAGGUGAAGUCCCUGCGGAUGGAGCUGAGACCAGUCGAAGAUACCAGCUGGCUGCAACUGUUUAUUAAAAACACAGCACUGUGCAAACACGAAAGUGGACGUAUACGGUGUGACGCCUGCCCGGUGCCGGAAGGUUAAUUGAUGGGGUUAUCCGUAAGGAGAAGCUCUUGAUCGAAGCCCCGGUAAACGGCGGCCGUAACUAUAACGGUCCUAAGGUAGCGAAAUUCCUUGUCGGGUAAGUUCCGACCUGCACGAAUGGCGUAAUGAUGGCCAGGCUGUCUCCACCCGAGACUCAGUGAAAUUGAACUCGCUGUGAAGAUGCAGUGUACCCGCGGCAAGACGGAAAGACCCCGUGAACCUUUACUAUAGCUUGACACUGAACAUUGAGCCUUGAUGUGUAGGAUAGGUGGGAGGCUUUGAAGCGUGGACGCCAGUCUGCGUGGAGCCAACCUUGAAAUACCACCCUUUAAUGUUUGAUGUUCUAACGUUGGCCCCUGACCGGGGUUGCGGACAGUGUCUGGUGGGUAGUUUGACUGGGGCGGUCUCCUCCCAAAGCGUAACGGAGGAGCACGAAGGUUAGCUAAUCCUGGUCGGACAUCAGGAGGUUAGUGCAAUGGCAUAAGCUAGCUUGACUGCGAGCGUGACGGCGCGAGCAGGUGCGAAAGCAGGUCAUAGUGAUCCGGUGGUUCUGAAUGGAAGGGCCAUCGCUCAACGGAUAAAAGGUACUCCGGGGAUAACAGGCUGAUACCGCCCAAGAGUUCAUAUCGACGGCGGUGUUUGGCACCUCGAUGUCGGCUCAUCACAUCCUGGGGCUGAAGUAGGUCCCAAGGGUAUGGCUGUUCGCCAUUUAAAGUGGUACGCGAGCUGGGUUUAGAACGUCGUGAGACAGUUCGGUCCCUAUCUGCCGUGGGCGCUGGAGAAUUGAGGGGGGCUGCUCCUAGUACGAGAGGACCGGAGUGGACGCAUCACUGGUGUUCGGGUUGUCAUGCCAAUGGCACUGCCCGGUAGCUAAAUGCGGAAGAGAUAAGUGCUGAAAGCAUCUAAGCACGAAACUUGCCCCGAGAUGAGUUCUCCCUGAGACUUUAAGUCUCCUGAAGGAACGUCCAAGACGAUGACGUUGAUAGGCCGGGUGUGUAAGCGCAGCGAUGCGUUGAGCUAACCGGUACUAAUGAACCGUGAGGCUUAACCUU
RNAcentral lists this ribosomal RNA (2798 nucleotides) under Klebsiella pneumoniae. Its description in RNAcentral is "partial 23S ribosomal RNA". It matches the Rfam family "Bacterial large subunit ribosomal RNA". Lineage: Bacteria; Pseudomonadati; Pseudomonadota; Gammaproteobacteria; Enterobacterales; Enterobacteriaceae. The record is from RNAcentral.